GAUGAACGCUGGCGGCGUGCUUAACACAUGCAAGUCGAACGGGAUCCAUCAAGCUUGCUUGGUGGUGAGAGUGGCGAACGGGUGAGUAAUGCGUGACCGACCUGCCCCAUACACCGGAAUAGCUCCUGGAAACGGGUGGUAAUGCCGGAUGCUCCAGUUGAUCGCAUGGUCUUCUGGGAAAGCUUUCGCGGUAUGGGAUGGGGUCGCGUCCUAUCAGCUUGACGGCGGGGUAACGGCCCACCGUGGCUUCGACGGGUAGCCGGCCUGAGAGGGCGACCGGCCACAUUGGGACUGAGAUACGGCCCAGACUCCUACGGGAGGCAGCAGUGGGGAAUAUUGCACAAUGGGCGCAAGCCUGAUGCAGCGACGCCGCGUGAGGGAUGGAGGCCUUCGGGUUGUAAACCUCUUUUAUCGGGGAGCAAGCGAGAGUGAGUUUACCCGUUGAAUAAGCACCGGC
RNAcentral lists this ribosomal RNA (457 nucleotides) under uncultured bacterium. RNAcentral describes it as "bacterial SSU rRNA". It matches the Rfam family "Bacterial small subunit ribosomal RNA", at positions 28 to 497 of the family's 1533-position model. The record is from RNAcentral.